AUUGAACGCUGGCGGCAGGCCUAACACAUGCAAGCCGAGCGGAUGACGGGAGCUUGCUCCUUGAUUCAGCGGCGGACGGGUGAGUAAUGCCUAGGAAUCUGCCUGGUAGUAGGGGACAACGUUUCGAAAGGAACGCUAAUACCGCAUACGUCCUACGGGAGAAAGCAGGGGACCUUCGGGCCUUGCGCUAUCAGAUGAGCCUAGGUCGGAUUAGCUUGUUGGUGAGGUAAUGGCUCACCAAGGCGACGAUCCGUAACUGGUCUGAGAGGAUGAUCAGUCACACUGGAACUGAGACACGGUCCAGACUCCUACGGGAGGCAGCAGUGGGGAAUAUUGGACAAUGGGCGAAAGCCUGAUCCAGCCAUGCCGCGUGUGUGAAGAAGGUCUUCGGAUUGUAAAGCACUUUAAGUUGGGAGGAAGGGUUGUAGAUUAAUACUCUGCAAUUUUGACGUUACCGACAGAAUAAGCACCGGCUAACUCUGUGCCAGCAGCCGCGGUAA
This 500-nucleotide ribosomal RNA is filed under the name uncultured bacterium. RNAcentral describes it as "partial 16S ribosomal RNA". It matches the Rfam family "Bacterial small subunit ribosomal RNA", at positions 30 to 523 of the family's 1533-position model. The record is from RNAcentral.